AAGACUAUACUUUCAGGGAUCAUUUUUAUAGUUCGUUACUACAGAAGUUUCUCUGAAAGAGAUAUGGGAACAUAUGUAUAUGUAUAACUGAUUCAC
Small nucleolar RNA from Tursiops truncatus (common bottlenose dolphin), 96 nucleotides. Its record names the gene U3. It matches the Rfam family "Small nucleolar RNA U3". From Rfam's summary of the family: Small nucleolar RNAs (snoRNAs) are involved in the processing and modification of rRNA in the nucleolus. There are two main classes of snoRNAs: the box C/D class, and the box H/ACA class. Lineage: Eukaryota; Metazoa; Chordata; Mammalia; Artiodactyla; Delphinidae. The record is from Ensembl.